UUAGUAUUGCGGCCUUCGGUACUCUCGCCUUCGUGCAGGCGCAGGAAGAGGAAACUCCUUCCUCCGCGCCGACCGGCACGUCGGUCCACCCUAUCGCCUUCCCCCACAAUACCCAUGCUGGGGAAUUCAAGAUCGAUUGCCAAUAUUGUCAUUUCUCGGCAGAGCGGU
RNAcentral lists this ribosomal RNA (168 nucleotides) under uncultured eukaryote. RNAcentral describes it as "partial small subunit ribosomal RNA". The record is from RNAcentral.